GACGAACGCUGGCGGCGUGCUUAACACAUGCAAGUCGAGCGGAAAGGCCACUUCGGUUUUACUCGAGCGGCGAACGGGUGAGUAACACGUGAGUAAUCUGCCCUUGGCUUUUGGAUAGCCACCGGAAACGGUGAUUAAUACCGGAUACGACCACUCCAGCCAUCUGGUGGUGGUGGAAAGUUUUUCGGCCAGGGAUGUUCUCGCGGCCUAUCAGCUUGAUGGUGAGGUAAUGGCUCACCAUGGCUUCGACGGGUAGCCGGCCUGGGAGGGUGACCGGUCACACGGGGCCUGAGACACGGACCAGACGCCAACGGGAGGCAGAAGGGGGGAGUAUUGGCCAAUGGGAGGAAGCCGGAUCCAGCAACGCCGCGUGAGGGAUGACGGCUUUUGGGUUGUAAACCUCUUUCGGUAGGGACGAAGCGGAAGUGACGGUACCUAAUAAAGAAGCACCGGCCAACUACGUG
Molecule: ribosomal RNA, 464 nt
Filed under: uncultured bacterium
Lineage: Bacteria
Description: partial 16S ribosomal RNA
Rfam family: Bacterial small subunit ribosomal RNA
Source: RNAcentral